RNAcentral lists this ribosomal RNA (460 nucleotides) under uncultured bacterium. RNAcentral's name for it is "partial 16S ribosomal RNA". It matches the Rfam family "Bacterial small subunit ribosomal RNA", at positions 338 to 795 of the family's 1533-position model. The record is from RNAcentral.
CCUACGGGAGGCAGCAGUGAGGAAUAUUGGUCAAUGGACGAGAGUCUGAACCAGCCAAGUAGCGUGAAGGAUGACUGCCCUAUGGGUUGUAAACUUCUUUUAUAUGGGAAUAAAAUGUUCCACGUGUGGGAUUUUGUAUGUACCAUAUGAAUAAGGAUCGGCUAACUCCGUGCCAGCAGCCGCGGUAAUACGGAGGAUCCGAGCGUUAUCCGGAUUUAUUGGGUUUAAAGGGAGCGUAGGUGGAUUGUUAAGUCAGUUGUGAAAGUUUGCGGCUCAACCGUAAAAUUGCAGUUGAAACUGGCAGUCUUGAGUACAGUAGAGGUGGGCGGAAUUCGUGGUGUAGCGGUGAAAUGCAUAGAUAUCACACAGAACACCGAUUGCGAAGGCAUCUCACGAAUCCGCGAUUGACGCUGAUGCACGAAAGCGUGGGUAUCAAACAGGAUUAGAUACCCCAGUAGUC